GAUGAACGCUGGCGGCGUGCCUAAUACAUGCAAGUAGAACGCUGAAGGAAGGAGCUUGCUCUUUCCGGAUGAGUUGCGAACGGGUGAGUAACGCGUAGGUAACCUGCCUGGUAGCGGGGGAUAACUAUUGGAAACGAUAGCUAAUACCGCAUAACAGUAGAUGUUGCAUGAUAUCUACUUAAAAGGUGCAAUUGCACCACUACCAGAUGGACCUGCGUUGUAUUAGCUAGUUGGUGAGGUAACGGCUCACCAAGGAGACGAUACAUAGCCGACCUGAGAGGGUGAUCGGCCACACUGGGACUGAGACACGGCCCAGACUCCUACGGGAGGCAGCAGUAGGGAAUCUUCGGCAAUGGACGGAAGUCUGACCGAGCAACGCCGCGUGAGUGAAGAAGGUUUUCGGAUCGUAAAGCUCUGUUGUAAGAGAAGAACGAGUGUGAGAGUGGAAAGUUCACACUGUGACGGUAUCUUACCAGAAAGGGACGGCUAACUACGUG
RNAcentral lists this ribosomal RNA (497 nucleotides) under uncultured bacterium. RNAcentral's name for it is "partial 16S ribosomal RNA". It matches the Rfam family "Bacterial small subunit ribosomal RNA", at positions 28 to 507 of the family's 1533-position model. The record is from RNAcentral.